CACGGGGGGAGCGAGCGUUGUUCGGAAUUACUGGGUGUAAAGGGCUCGUAGGCGGGGAAGAAGGUCGGAUGUGAAAACUUAUGGCUUAACCAUAAGCCUGCAUCCGAAACCACUUCUCUUGAGUAUCGGAGAGGAUAGCGGAACUCCUGGUGUAGCGGUGAAAUGCGUAGAUAUCAGGAGGAACGCCGGUGGCGAAGGCGGCUAUCUGGCCGAAUACUGACGCUCAGGAGCGAAGGCCGGGGGAGCAAACAGGAUUAGAUACCCUGGUAGUCCCGGCAGUAAACGAUGGGUACUAGGUGUUGGAGGGAAUUGACCCCUUCAGUGCCGCAGCUAACGCAUUAAGUACCCCACCUGGGGAGUACGACCGCAAGGUUGAA
Molecule: ribosomal RNA, 377 nt
Filed under: uncultured candidate division GN04 bacterium
Lineage: Bacteria
Description: bacterial SSU rRNA
Rfam family: Bacterial small subunit ribosomal RNA
Source: RNAcentral